RNAcentral lists this ribosomal RNA (253 nucleotides) under uncultured bacterium. RNAcentral describes it as "partial 16S ribosomal RNA". It matches the Rfam family "Bacterial small subunit ribosomal RNA", at positions 524 to 776 of the family's 1533-position model. The record is from RNAcentral.
UACGUAGGCAGCAAGCGUUGUUCGGAAUUACUGGGCGUAAAGAGUGUGUAGGCGGUGUUCCAAGUCUGUUGUGAAAUCUCCCGGCUUAACUGGGAGGGUGCGGCGGAAACUGGGAUGCUAGAGGAUGGGAGAGGUAAGCGGAAUUCCUGGUGUAGCGGUGAAAUGCGCAGAUAUCAGGAAGAACACCUAUGGCGAAGGCAGCUCUCUGGGACGGUACUGACGCUGAGACGCGAAAGCGUGGGGAGCAAACAGG